Molecule: non-coding RNA, 2826 nt
Organism: Cyanistes caeruleus (blue tit)
Lineage: Eukaryota; Metazoa; Chordata; Aves; Passeriformes; Paridae
Source: RefSeq, a predicted model, not a curated record
CAGUGCUGUGGGUGUGCCUGCCCUGCUGACACGCCUUAGAUCCAUCCCAGUCCCUUCCAUUUCAGUUCCAGCACAAGGAGGAAAUCCCACAAUAUAUGCAGCAUUCUUGCCUUUGCUUGUGCUUUGAGAUGCAGCGAGUUUCCUGGACCAUGGUGAGAGAAAAUCCUGUGCUGAAGGUGUGAGCCAGCAAUGGAUCAGUAAAUAGCUGCUCCUCUGAAGAUCAGCUCAUUAAGAAGCAGCCAUCUGAAUGAAAUAAGGUCCUGGGGAGUCUGUGCCACCACACAUGCCAAAAAGAGAGGCAUGAAACCUCAUUACGUGCCAUGACCAAGCCAGAGGAAUUUCUACCUAGGCAGGAUCUGUGGUUAAUAUUCUGCUCUUGUGCUUUGCCCACUGAAGCCCCGGAGUGCUUUUGUUUAUGGUGUGGUUCUCGUUCAGCACAUUUCCAUGUGAGUAACUGCAAGUGGCUCUGUCGCCCCGGGCACAGAACGCAGCCCAGCUGAAAUGCCAGAGGCUGCAGCUUUCUUUGUGAUGGGAAGAAAACCAAAGGGAAAAAAAAAAUCACAACUGUUUUUUUCUUUUUUUUUUUCCUGUGACAAAAGCCUCAACAAUAGUUUCCUUAUUCAAUAGAAUGGUGUUGCAUGGAUAUAUUACAGCUGGUCAAAAGACUCCAAGAUUAUUUAGCUUUUAAUUAGCUUUUCUGUACUGUUAAUUCUGUUAGCCAUAAAUAGCUAAAUGACACAGUAUUUGUGGAACUUAGCAAUAGCCAGCAAUAUUCACAGCUUAAUUAAAUAAUUCACAUGCCAAUCUCCAGUCAUGAUGCAAAAAGACCAAAAGACAAAUUAAAUAAUCACAGCUUCCUUGGCCAAUUUCUUGGAAAAGAGAAGCAGGGCCUGUUGAGACAUAUGGCAAACAAUGUUUUCUGUGAAACAGCAAACUAAAAGACAUCGCUACUCCCACGUGGUAGGAGGCACAAUGCCUUUCCAAAUCCCACUCUCACCAUGAACAGCUCAGUGUAACUGAGCACUUGCACCAGUGUUUGAACAGGGAAUUCACCUGCCAUGAACUGAAAGGAAAGGGAGGAAGGCAGGAGAGGGGAUGAAAAAUCGCAAAUUCAAAUCGCAAUUUCCCAAGCAAUAUUUUUAAUUGUUUGGAAAUUUGUGAAACGUGACAAAUAAAGUGAUUGAGAAUGCCCACUGCACUGAGAUCUGUCUCUGCCAACACGCUGGAAUUAACUUCAGUUUAAUUAGGCACCCAUGCCAGCAGGAGUGAGGUGUGAAGACAGAGAUUCAGUUGCUAUAAAUCUGCCAGGAUUUGGGGUUUUUUUCCUUACAUCAUGAUUUCAUUAUCUAAUCACCCUGUUGUGAUACACACACACUGCAUGCAAAAAAAUAUAUGCAGCACAAAAACCCAAAAGGUCAUUAUAUAUUGCUUGACAUUGUCUUCAGCAGACAUUAUCCCCCAAGAGAACAACUUCAAAUAACAAUAGUUUUCUCUUGGCCAGGUUCUCUGCCACAGGGAUGUUAUUUAUCCUGGUGUCACACACACAAACAGCCUCGUGUGGGGAAAUCCAUCGGUGGCAGCACAGUGAUAAGUGUGUCAUUUAUUCGUCUUUUUCUAUUGCAUACUUGAAGAAGUUAAACCCAAACAAAACUGCCAAGAUAUGAUAUUCCUUGAGAGGAGGAACAUGGUUUAUGUGUCUCAGCUUUGCCAAAAAGCUCUGGACACCAAUGCUUCAGUUUGUGAAUAAAGAUGUACACAAACACUGCCUCAAGCAGGGCAAAGACCACCCUUGGGCAGAAGCAUUUUGGAGCUGCAGUGGUGAAAGGAUGGGGGGGUGUGCUUUGUUUUGCAGAACAUUUGGGUGUGUGUUACAGGCCUGUCUAAACAGAAUUGGUGUGUCUGAUGGCUGAUCCAAUGUUCCAAGGAGGUCCUCUAUUCAGAACUUGUUUUCCUUCCCACUUACCCUACUUUGUGUAUUGUGCUAGAUUAGACUGGUUUCGUAAACUGCAGUUACUGUCCAUCUGGAUAUGUUUUGAGGCUCUAUAAACUUUUAACAACUGUGAAGGGGGAAAAUACUGAAGUAUGCAGCCAGUCUGAAGUGGUUAUCUUGGGCUUUAACCUACUGUUGCCAGGAAGGCACAAAACACCCUUCACAGGCCAUGUAAAACUUACUUCAUUUGUACCUUACUAACACAGCAAAAGGCAUUCUCUUAUAAGAGAUUAUCUCUUUGUUUACAUAAUCUCUUCAUGAAUGAAAACUGUUGUGAUAUUAAAAUCACACUGACAUGUCCCUACACAUUCAAUAAUGAUUCAGGACACAUAUAACUGAAAAAGAUACUUGGUUAAUGCUUGCACCUGUCCUACAGCUUGCUAUUAAACAAGGAGAUUUUAUGCUUUUCUAUAUUUUUUAGUAAAAAGAUUUAUUUUCAUGCUAUUUAUUAUGGAAUGCCAAUCAGUUUUCAAAACAUUUGUGUGUGCUUGUCAUGUUUUUUCCAUGUUUAAAAAGCCUUAUUUUCCAUGUUAUCCCAGACUACACUCCCUGGCCAUCUUUACCUCCUCACUCUGUGAUGGCAGAUGAUGACACACAUCUGGCUGGGAACAAACACAGAUCUGCUCAGGGACACACCCUGAGUCUGUGCAGGCCUUUCAAGGCCAGGAAAGUUUGGACUGGUCAUCCUUAAGUGCUGACACAGGCAGGUGCUUGUGUCAGGCUCAAAGGGGCUUUGGGACCGUGUCUCUCUAAGCCACCACCUGCAUGCCAUGGGAUGAGGCACAGCUGAUUUCCUUCAAGAAAGACCAAACUGUCUUGUUCUGAUCUAUGGGGCA